CUUGAAUAGUGUAUUGAUGGGAAAUGUGUGGUUAAAAAAUAAGGAAUUUUUUUUGAUUUGCGUGUAAUAUUAUUUUAUUGAAGAAUGUGAUUGAAAUGAUAUCAAAUCACUGUUUAAGAAUGCAUUUUUUUGGAAUAAUGUGGCUCAAGCAGGCCCUUAAUUGCGUAGAUUACGGAAUUUGGGGCCCACAAUGUUAGAACACGGGACGUGCAAACCAUGAAAAGUAUUUCAGCAUUCCCGGACCCGAGAACAUCAAGAAACCGUUGAAUUUUAACUUUCACCUGGGCAGCAGCAUUUUUCUUUUUCUUUCCCCCGUCAGUGGAUGCUUUAGUUGGGAAAUACACACUUUCAAAUAGAUGAUGAAUGCAAAGAAGUCGAGGAAGAUUCGGCAUCGUGCAUGAUGAAUGCAAAGAAUGCGCUGCCAAUUCGAAUGGAUGAUGAACUGAAUCCUGUCCAAGCAAAGCUUGGUUUUCUCAUGCCAUACCAAAUAUUGAACGAGAAAGCCGACUCUUUUGUACACAGAUGCCAUUGCUUGUGCUUUGUCUCAGCUGUAAAGAACAAUUAUGGACCAACAUGCUUCUCAUUAAAAUCUCAGACGCACGUUCGAACAGCAAACUUUGUAAUUCUCUGCUUUUAGAAAAAAUUAUAGGUUUUGGGUUCGUAUUAUUCUAUUUGUACAAAAAUAUUCUCACAGAAUCUUACCAGAAGAGACUCAUGUGUGUGGGGCCCAUGCUUUGAUAAAAAAACUGC
This 750-nucleotide long non-coding RNA is filed under the name Olea europaea subsp. europaea. The record is from RNAcentral. Lineage: Eukaryota; Viridiplantae; Streptophyta; Magnoliopsida; Lamiales; Oleaceae.